CGGGGGCGGCGUGCUUACCAUGCAGUCGAACGGUGAACACGGAGCUUGCUCUGUGGGAUCAGUGGCGAACGGGUGAGUAACACGUGAGCAACCUACCCCUGACUCUGGGAUAAGCGCUGGAAACGGCGUCUAAUACUGGAUACGAGUGGCGACCGCAUGGUCAGCUACUGGAAAGAUUUAUUGGUUGGGGAUGGGCUCGCGGCCUAUCAGCUUGUUGGUGAGGUAAUGGCUCACCAAGGCGUCGACGGGUAGCCGGCCUGAGAGGGUGACCGGCCACACUGGGACUGAGACACGGCCCAGACUCCUACGGGAGGCAGCAGUGGGGAAUAUUGCACAAUGGGCGCAAGCCUGAUGCAGCAACGCCGCGUGAGGGAUGACGGCCUUCGGGUUGUAAACCUCUUUUAGCAGGGAAGAAGCGAAAGUGACGGUACCUGCAGAAAAAGCGCCGGCUAACUACGUGCCAGCAGCCGCGGUAAUACGUAGGGCGCAAGCGUUAUCCGGAAUUAUUGGGCGUAAAGAGCUCGUAGGCGGUUUGUCGCGUCUGCUGUGAAAUCCGGAGGCUCAACCUCCGGCCUGCAGUGGGUACGGGCAGACUAGAGUGCGGUAGGGGAGAUUGGAAUUCCUGGUGUAGCGGUGGAAUGCGCAGAUAUCAGGAGGAACACCGAUGGCGAAGGCAGAUCUCUGGGCCGUAACUGACGCUGAGGAGCGAAAGGGUGGGGAGCAAACAGGCUUAGAUACCCUGGUAGUCCACCCCGUAAACGUUGGGAACUAGUUGUGGGGUCCAUUCCACGGAUUCCGUGACGCAGCUAACGCAUUAAGUUCCCCGCCUGGGGAGUACGGCCGCAAGGCUAAAACUCAAAGGAAUUGACGGGGACCCGCACAAGCGGCGGAGCAUGCGGAUUAAUUCGAUGCAACGCGAAGAACCUUACCAAGGCUUGACAUAUACGAGAACGGGCCAGAAAUGGUCAACUCUUUGGACACUCGUAAACAGUGGUGCAUGGUUGUCGUCAGCUCGUGUCGUGAGAUGUUGGGUUAAGUCCCGCACGAGCGCAACCCUCGUUCUAUGUUGCCAGCACGUAAUGGUGGGAACUCAUGGGAUACUGCCGGGGUCAACUCG
RNAcentral lists this ribosomal RNA (1117 nucleotides) under Microbacterium foliorum. RNAcentral's name for it is "bacterial SSU rRNA". It matches the Rfam family "Bacterial small subunit ribosomal RNA", at positions 34 to 1165 of the family's 1533-position model. The record is from RNAcentral. Lineage: Bacteria; Bacillati; Actinomycetota; Actinomycetes; Micrococcales; Microbacteriaceae.